UACGUAGGGGGCAAGCGUUAUCCGGAUUUACUGGGUGUAAAGGGAGCGUAGGUGGUCUGGUAAGUCAGAUGUGAAAGCCCAGGGCUCAACCCUGGGACUGCAUCUGAUACUAUCAGACUAGAGUGCAGGAGAGGUAAGUGGAAUUCCUAGUGUAGCGGUGAAAUGCGUAGAUAUUAGGAGGAACACCAGUGGCGAAGGCGGCUUACUGGACUGUAACUGACACUGAGGCUCGAAAGCGUGGGGAGCAAACAGG
This 253-nucleotide ribosomal RNA is filed under the name uncultured bacterium. RNAcentral's name for it is "partial 16S ribosomal RNA". It matches the Rfam family "Bacterial small subunit ribosomal RNA", at positions 524 to 776 of the family's 1533-position model. The record is from RNAcentral.